GAGCGCAGACGUUUAUUAAGUCUGAUGUGAAAGCCCGGAGCUCAACUCCGGAAUGGCAUUGGAAACUGGUUAACUUGAGUGCAGUAGAGGUAAGUGGAACUCCAUGUGUAGCGGUGGAAUGCGUAGAUAUAUGGAAGAACACCAGUGGCGAAGGCGGCUUACUGGACUGCAACUGACGUUGAGGCUCGAAAGUGUGGGUAGCAAACAGGAUUAGAUACCCUGGUAGUCCACACCGUAAACGAUGAACACUAGGUGUUAGGAGGUUUCCGCCUCUUAGUGCCGAAGCUAACGCAUUAAGUGUUCCGCCUGGGGAGUACGACCGCAAGGUUGAAACUCAAAGGAAUUGACGGGGACCCGCACAAGCGGUGGAGCAUGUGGUUUAAUUCGAAGCAACGCGAAGAACCUUACCAGGUCUUGACAUCCUUUGAAGCUUUUAGAGAUAGAAGUGUUCUCUUCGGAGACAAAGUGACAGGUGGUGCAUGGUCGUCGUCAGCUCGUGUCGUGAGAUGUUGGGUUAAGUCCCGCAACGAGCGCAACCCUUAUUGUUAGUUGCCAGCAUUCAGAUGGGCACUCUAGCGAGACUGCCGGUGACAAACCGGAGGAAGGCGGGGACGACGUCAGAUCAUCAUGCCCCUUAUGACCUGGGCUACACACGUGCUACAAUGGCGUAUACAACGAGUUGCCAGCCCGCGAGGGUGAGCUAAUCUCUUAAAGUACGUCUCAGUUCGGAUUGUAGUCUGCAACUCGACUACAUGAAGUCGGAAUCGCUAGUAAUCGCGGAUCAGCACGCCGCGAUGAAUACGUUCCCGGGUCUUGUACACACCGCCCGUCACACCAUGGGAGUUUGUAAUGCCCAAAG
RNAcentral lists this ribosomal RNA (859 nucleotides) under Leuconostoc mesenteroides. RNAcentral describes it as "bacterial SSU rRNA". It matches the Rfam family "Bacterial small subunit ribosomal RNA", at positions 567 to 1426 of the family's 1533-position model. The record is from RNAcentral. Lineage: Bacteria; Bacillati; Bacillota; Bacilli; Lactobacillales; Lactobacillaceae.